RNAcentral lists this transfer RNA (72 nucleotides) under Camelus dromedarius (Arabian camel). It matches the Rfam family "tRNA". Rfam says of the family: Transfer RNA (tRNA) molecules are approximately 80 nucleotides in length. RNAcentral also lists the same sequence under 2 other names. Lineage: Eukaryota; Metazoa; Chordata; Mammalia; Artiodactyla; Camelidae. The record is from Rfam by way of RNAcentral.
GAGGGUGUAGCUUAGUGGUAGAGUGCCUGCUUAGCAUGCAUGAGGUCCUGGGUUCAAUAGCCAAUACCUCCA